RNAcentral lists this signal recognition particle RNA (297 nucleotides) under Carlito syrichta (Philippine tarsier). Its description in RNAcentral is "Metazoan signal recognition particle RNA (ENSTSYG00000033251.1)". It matches the Rfam family "Metazoan signal recognition particle RNA". From Rfam's summary of the family: The signal recognition particle (SRP) is a universally conserved ribonucleoprotein. It is involved in the co-translational targeting of proteins to membranes. The record is from RNAcentral. Lineage: Eukaryota; Metazoa; Chordata; Mammalia; Primates; Tarsiidae.
GUUGGGCGUGGUGGUUGUAGUCCUAACUACUCAUUCAGGAGGCUGAGGCUGGAGGAUCACUUGAGGCCAGGAGUUCUGGGCUGUAGUGUGGCAUGCCCAUCAGGUUUCUAUACUAAGUUCCACAUCAACAUGGUGACAUCCCAGGAGCACAGAUCACCAGGUUGCCUAUGGAGCGGUACACCGGUCCAGGUCAGAAACGGAGCAGGUCAAACCUCCCGUGCUGGUCUGUAAUGGGAUUGCGCCUAUGGAAUAACCACUGUAUUCCAACCUGUCUCUUAAAAAUAAAAUAAAGAAUUU